GCAAGUCGAGCGGACCGACGGGAGCUUGCUCCCUUAGGUCAGCGGCGGACGGGUGAGUAACACGUGGGUAACCUGCCUGUAAGACUGGGAUAACUCCGGGAAACCGGGGCUAAUACCGGAUGCUUGAUUGAACCGCAUGGUUCAAUCAUGAAAGGCGGCUUCGGCUGCCGUUUACAGAUGGACCCGCGGCGCAUUAGCUAGUUGGUGAGGUAACGGCUCACCAAGGCGACGAUGCGUAGCCGACCUGAGAGGGUGAUCGGCCACACUGGGACUGAGACACGGCCCAGACUCCUACGGGAGGCAGCAGUAGGGAAUCUUCCGCAAUGGACGAAAGUCUGACGGAGCAACGCCGCGUGAGUGAUGAAGGUUUUCGGAUCGUAAAGCUCUGUUGUUAGGGAAGAACAAGUACCGUUCGAAUAGGGCGGUACCUUGACGGUACCUAACCAGAAAGCCACGGCUAACUACGUGCCAGCAGCCGCGGUAAUACGUAGGUGGCAAGCGUUGUCCGGAAUUAUUGGGCGUAGAGCGCGCGCAGGCGGUUUCUUAAGUCUGAUGUGAAAGCCCCCGGCUCAACCGGGGAGGGUCAUU
This 588-nucleotide ribosomal RNA is filed under the name Bacillus sp. PSu5_29. RNAcentral's name for it is "bacterial SSU rRNA". It matches the Rfam family "Bacterial small subunit ribosomal RNA", at positions 57 to 627 of the family's 1533-position model. Lineage: Bacteria; Bacillati; Bacillota; Bacilli; Caryophanales; Bacillaceae. The record is from RNAcentral.